AGGUGUGGAGGCUAUCCUUUUGGGUUUCAAUUGGGUAACAUACAAUCCAUGAUGUUGGCAUUUGGAAAAUUUGUCAUUAGAAUGGAUUUGAGAAGGAGAGACGCUUUGUGUGACGGCAUAUGGAGGACUAAUUAUGACCUUAGUGUGCUGGCAUUCGUUAUUUUAGAAGUAAAGGAUGCAAAAUGACAGAUCAUGGAGUUGAGGAAUUAGGGAGGUGAUUGUUCC
Molecule: long non-coding RNA, 225 nt
Filed under: Elaeis guineensis (African oil palm)
Lineage: Eukaryota; Viridiplantae; Streptophyta; Magnoliopsida; Arecales; Arecaceae
Description: long non-coding RNA (EGUI_LNC028469)
Source: RNAcentral